Molecule: ribosomal RNA, 500 nt
Filed under: uncultured bacterium
Lineage: Bacteria
Description: partial 16S ribosomal RNA
Rfam family: Bacterial small subunit ribosomal RNA
Source: RNAcentral
AUUGAACGCUGGCGGAAUGCUUUACACAUGCAAGUCGAACGGCAGCACGGACUUCGGUCUGGUGGCGAGUGGCGAACGGGUGAGUAAUGUAUCGGAACGUGCCCAGUCGUGGGGGAUAACGUAGUGAAAAUUACGCUAAUACCGCAUACGAUCUAUGGAUGAAAGCGGGGGAUCGCAAGACCUCGCGCGAUUGGAGCGGCCGAUGUCAGAUUAGGUAGUUGGUGGGGUAAAGGCCCACCAAGCCAACGAUCUGUAGCUGGUCUGAGAGGACGACCAGCCACACUGGAACUGAGACACGGUCCAGACUCCUACGGGAGGCAGCAGUGGGGAAUUUUGGACAAUGGGCGAAAGCCUGAUCCAGCCAUUCCGCGUGCAGGAUGAAGGCCCUCGGGUUGUAAACUGCUUUUGUACAGAACGAAAAGGUUUCUACUAAUACUAGGGGCUCAUGACGGUACUGUAAGAAUAAGCACUGGCUAACUACGUGCCAGCCGCCGCGGUAA